GGAGGGUCCAAGCGUUAUCCGGAAUCAUUGGGGUUUAAAGGGGUCCGUAGGCGGGCAAUUAAGUCAGAGGUGAAAUCCCACAGCUCAACUGUGGGAACUGCCUUUGAUACUGGUUGUCUUGAGUUAUAGUGAAGUAGAUAGAAUAUGUAGUGUAGCGAUGAAAUGCAUAGAUAUUACAUAGAAUACCGAUUGCGAAGGCAGUCUACUAACUGUAUACUGACGCUAAUGGACGAAAGCGUGGGGAGCGAACAGGAUUAGAUACCCUGGUAGUCCACGCCGUAAACGAUGGUCACUAGUUGUUGGGGGUCUUGUACCUCAGUGAUUAAGAGAAAUUGAUAAGUGACCCACCUGGGGAGUACGAUCGCAAAGAUUG
This 373-nucleotide ribosomal RNA is filed under the name uncultured organism. Its description in RNAcentral is "partial 16S ribosomal RNA". It matches the Rfam family "Bacterial small subunit ribosomal RNA", at positions 527 to 896 of the family's 1533-position model. The record is from RNAcentral.